AUCAUUGGUCUAUUUUCCAUUGUACUUAAUAUUAUAGUUGACCUCUGGGUUUGAACUAUUCAAAAAUAGGUUUAUAUGUACAAAAAUUCUACUUACUAGUGUUAUUGCUAUGAGAGAUUUUCCAUUCUGGAAUAGACCCAAUCACUGUACCACCUAUAACUGCAUUUGCCACUCUAGUCUUUCUUUUGAUUUUCCAGCUACUAGAUAUGAUUAAACCUGUAAUAAAUGGAGUGAAGCCUCUAUAUUACAUUCUCCAGGGAGUUUUUUGUGGUAAUUUAUUAAAUAAAAAGAUAAAUUCUGUUGGGCUAAUAUAUUUGUUUUAAUUGAGCUUUGAGGGUGUUGUACAUUUGAAUGACUUUUACCCAGUAGAUACUGAAAUAUGUUUUUUAAUUAUAAGUUUGGUGUACAUAUGUGGGAAACCAGCAAAGUUCCAUAUAGUAUAGUCUUGGCUUAGUGAGAUAAAAGUUAUAGAAGAGGACAUUGGAAAUCUAGCCACACUGUGGCUAAUAGGCUUGGUUCUCUGAAAUAAAAGUAUAAUUCAGGGCCAAUAAUGUGGAAGGCAUUGAGAAGCAUAUCCACCAAGGAGCAACAUUAUGGUCAUUUUGUCUUUGUUAUUACUUACUGCUUUAUUCUGAGAACAAUACAGGCAUUAAAGUUCUAGAAGCUUCACAGAUCAUUAAUCAUCAACAUAAAUUCAGUGAAUUAGAAUUCUUUCUUCAAAAGUAUGUGUCAACUUCAGAUUGCAGAUUUGCCAAAGCUUCAUGUAGAGCCCUUCUCUCUUUUAUCACGAGUAAAAGUUCAGGUUUAAAAUAGAACAACGGAUGACUAAUGCCAUUUCCAGCUGUGACUGAAUUCUCCACUGCCUGAUGCUUUUCAAAUGUAUCUGAAUCAGAAUCGAACACCCACUUUAUGCAUAGCUCCCUAAUCAGGAAGUUAUUCUUCCCAUCAAAGCAACUGGAAAGAAAAAAGAUAAAACAAUGAAGGGAGGAGAAAACACAAAAGUUCAAGAAGAGCAGAAUGUUCCGGCAAGGAGAAAAAGCUGGGAAAAGUCACCAAUGAAUGCCAGGGUUCACCACUAUCUUAGGAAUAUCAUGAAUAAAGCGUUAGAUUGGGUGUGCCCUAACUGAUGGUCACAAGCAUGAUACUAAUUAUCAGGGUGAACAAAGCAGGGGAGUAAGAGCAUCAGUAACUGUGAAACUCUAGGAGUUUGUCUUCAUUCUUUCAGUGAUAGGUACUGAGUGUUUCCCAUGUGUCAUACCCUAUGCCAGGUGCUGGGGAUGCAAUGGUAAAGGAACAGACCUGGCAAUAUUCCUCAUGGAGCUUGUGGUCUAGGACUGAAUGGGUCCCGUCAAUUUCAAAUAACAGCCAUGCUUGUUAUAAAUGAUGAUAGAUUUUCUACUCAAAAGAAACGAGUGUAGUUUAUUUCCACUUCUGUGGCUUCUAGAACUUUUUCCAUAAUGUAACCCUGAAGGAGAGCAUUAUAUUCAAAUUGGGGAUGAUGUUUUAAAUUAUUUUUAGCCCCAGUCCCAUCCUAUUAGUAUAAAUGGUUGAGACUGUGGUGUUUCCAUUUCCCUAGUGUAUAUUAUGUGCUUCCUGGUGACUUUCUAAGUCAAGAACUGUAAUUGCCCAGGGAGCAUGAUUACAUUCUCAGUGCUCUACUUUAACACCCUCACUUUUUCAUACAUUCAUGAAUCAAGCCUUAAGCUCCUACUAUGUGGGGCUUUAGGGGUGAUGAAAGCAUAAUUUCAUCAGCUUAAACUCUAGUGAGGAAAACAGACCUGACAUAUGCAACAAAUUAUAAUGCCAAGUAAUAAGUUCCAAAGGCCAGAUAUCUCACUGUCACUGGAGAUGUCAUCUCAUUAGAGAUGUCUCUUUCUAAAAUGCAAAUUUCACCUUCUUCAAAUUUACAACUUUCAUGAUCAAAUUCAAAUUCCUUGACAAGGAAGUCAGGAUCUAGGCUCAGCCUCACCCUGCAGCCCUGUUUUCUGCCUAUCACAUGGGCAUCUUCUGUUCCAGCUGAACACAUGACUGCAGAUACCCCUAUACCUGUCUUUCAAGUUCACGCCUCUAUCUUCUUAAACUCAGGACUCUAUGUCUAGAAUGCACAACUAACCUAAUUCUAUGCAGCCUUCAAAACUCAGAGAAAGCAUUAUUUUCUCUACAGAAUUUCUUCUCUCCACCUCUAUCCCUUACAAUCCAUGUUAGAUAUCCCGCCUCCAUGCACAGAAGCCUCUAUCCACCUAUCACAACACUUAUCUCACUGUAUUACAAUUGUUGGUCUGCUUUUCCAUCUCCUCCAAUGGAUUGACAAUAAGCACUUUGGGGUAAGAGGCUAUGUCUUACAAAUAAAUAGAUUAGUAUUAUGGGAGUACAUAUAAUUGAUAAAAAAAUGAACGGAUAAAUAUUAUAGGAGCACAGAAGAAAAA
Homo sapiens (human) is the source of this 2426-nucleotide long non-coding RNA. RefSeq lists it as uncharacterized. NCBI's taxonomy places the organism in Eukaryota, Metazoa, Chordata, Mammalia, Primates, Hominidae. The record is from RefSeq and is a predicted model, not a curated record. The transcript is spliced from 2 exons.